GACGAACGCUGGCGGCGUGCUUAACACAUGCAAGUCGAACGCUGAAGCUUGGUGCUUGCACUGGGUGGAUGAGUGGCGAACGGGUGAGUAAUACGUGAGUAACCUGCCCUUGACUCUGGGAUAAGCCUGGGAAACUGGGUCUAAUACUGGAUACGACAUGUCACCGCAUGGUGGUGUGUGGAAAGGGUUUUACUGGUUUUGGAUGGGCUCACGGCCUAUCAGCUUGUUGGUGGGGUAAUGGCUCACCAAGGCGACGACGGGUAGCCGGCCUGAGAGGGUGACCGGCCACACUGGGACUGAGACACGGCCCAGACUCCUACGGGUGGCAGCAGUGGGGAAUAUUGCACAAUGGGCGGAAGCCUGAUGCAGCGACGCCGCGUGAGGGAUGACGGCCUUCGGGUUGUAAACCUCUUUCAGCACGGAAGAAGCGAAAGUGACGGUACGUGCAGAAGAAGCGCCGGCUAACUACGUG
Molecule: ribosomal RNA, 472 nt
Filed under: uncultured bacterium
Lineage: Bacteria
Description: partial 16S ribosomal RNA
Rfam family: Bacterial small subunit ribosomal RNA
Source: RNAcentral